RNAcentral lists this ribosomal RNA (253 nucleotides) under uncultured bacterium. RNAcentral describes it as "partial 16S ribosomal RNA". It matches the Rfam family "Bacterial small subunit ribosomal RNA", at positions 524 to 776 of the family's 1533-position model. The record is from RNAcentral.
UACGUAGGGUGCGAGCGUUAAUCGGAAUUACUGGGCGUAAAGCGUGCGCAGGCGGUUCGUUGUGUCUGUGGUGAAAGCCCCGGGCUUAACCUGGGAAUGGCCAUGGAAACUGGCGGACUUGAGUGUGGCAGAGGGGGGUGGAAUUCCGCGUGUAGCAGUGAAAUGCGUAGAGAUGCGGAGGAACACCGAUGGCGAAGGCAGCCCCCUGGGCUGACACUGACGCUCAGGCACGAAAGCGUGGGGAGCAAACAGG